Non-coding RNA from Meleagris gallopavo (turkey), 1651 nucleotides. Lineage: Eukaryota; Metazoa; Chordata; Aves; Galliformes; Phasianidae. The record is from RefSeq and is a predicted model, not a curated record.
AAUGGCAAACAAAAACAUGGCAAAUUCAACUGGUUUUGAAAAGCCAUCAGUUCAAACAGUGCAGGAAACAACUGAUCCAGAGCAAGCAGUAAGCUAGGCUGGUGAGCACUGCAUACAGAACCCAUUACCUUAGUAGACAGGGGUGACUCAGGUCAGUAGGGAUUGAUCUGUUGUCAUGGCUCUGCAUCCAGUGAGUAUCUGCUGUUUGAGAUCAGGGCUGAACAGUUAUCUUCAGCCCUGCUCUAUUUAGCUGAGUAGGUGUAGUUAAAGCAUCUCAGACCAGGCUUAGGCACUACCAAAAUUACUGCUUCUGAACUUCCUUCCACUCACCUUUCAGGUGUUUUGGUUUCUGCACUUAGGAAAUGAGAUUUGAUGAUCACAGGUGAGAUGAGAGAGUAAAUGGGAUGUGAGGUGCUGAGACAAGGAGAUGGAGCUUGUCAGUGCCAGUUCUGAGUGCAGAUCUCCUCCUGUGUGGGAAGACAACUAAAGCUCUUUGUUAAUUAAUUAAGCCUUGCAAUACUCAAGGAAGCAUGGGGAUGGAUUCCAAGGCACAGUGAAUGAGACCAAGCUUUUGGAUACAGAGAUAAGAUACAAUAGGGAACUUAAAAAGCUGAAAGAAAGGAAGAGGUGGUAGCUGUAAUGAGACAAAUUUGAAAAGCAUUGCAGGACAGGAAGCAGUUCUGGCAUCAGCAGCCUCACAUGCCAUGUGACACCACUGAUGGAUUUUGGAAAGGAAAGGCAUGACAGCAUUUAAAAAUUUUCCACGGAAAUACAUAGCAGGCACUACUUUAUGAGAAACCUACCUAUGCAGUCUUACUACAUUCCUGUUUAAAAAAAAAAAAGAAGUAAAACACGAUCUUUAUUUUAAACCUGAUCUGCUGUUCUCCUCUUAAAACGAACCUGUAACUGAAACCAUGGGAGCUGAUGUCUUCUGCUAAAGAAUAAAAGCGGAGCACAACGUUCCGCAGCCCUCCUGAUCAGCUGCCAUUCGAACAACUCAACCGAAAUCAACGGGACCGCUUGUACGUCCCAGUGCCGGCCGGCAGGAGGGCUGCUGACAGCCCGAAGCGCUUCUGGACGGAAGACGUAGCAACGCGCGCUCGCAGCACCGCUUAAAACCCAUCUAUUUUAAAACUUCUUCCUCACGCGAAAGCCAACGCAUCUUCAGGCAGCAGCUGUGCGGCAGCAAGCCGAGAUAAAAAGGCCGAGUCCGCAGCGCCAAUGGGACAGCGCGGACCGGGAGGCGGCGAGCGGCUUCCUGCCCAGCGCCGCAGCAGCGGGAGGAGCAGCUGGAGCAGCAGCAGCAGGAGGAGGAAGAGGAGCAGCAGCAGCAGGAGGCGGCGGCUGUGCCGGGGGUGCUGCUGGGUGGCGGAAGGCGGCCGCACGUGCUGGCAGGAGCCGUGGAGCCGGCGGGCGGUGCUGCUGCGUUUCUGAGGCAUUUCGCUGGUUUUUUUUUUUUCUGCAGAAUGGAUUUUUAACGCUAUUUCUGCAGGGACCACAGAUACGCGCGCCAAGCAUUUUUUUUUUUUUUAAGUCAGACUCCUGUUAUCUAAUCGGUAGCAUCUUUUUCAUCCCAGUCCGCUUCUUUCUGAACGCCUGCUCCCCGCUCCCUGAGAGCGGCUCGGGCCGAAAGCCGCCCGGCGCUGAGCUG